AGCUUUGCAUGGUGUCUGUAUUGUAGCCAAUGAGGUUUAUCCAAGGCAUGAUUAUUGCUAAUCAUGUGAAAAACUUUU
RNAcentral lists this small nuclear RNA (78 nucleotides) under Cervus elaphus hippelaphus. Lineage: Eukaryota; Metazoa; Chordata; Mammalia; Artiodactyla; Cervidae. The record is from RNAcentral.